UACAGAGGGGGCAAGCGUUGUUCGGAAUUACUGGGCGUAAAGGGCGCGUAGGCGGCCAUCUAAGUCAGACGUGAAAUCCCCCGGCUUAACCUGGGAACUGCGUCUGAUACUGGACGGCUUGAGUUUGGGAGAGGGAUGCAGAAUUCCAGGUGUAGCGGUGAAAUGCGUAGAUAUCUGGAGGAAUACCGGUGGCGAAGGCGGCAUCCUGGACCAACACUGACGCUGAGGCGCGAAAGCUAGGGGAGCAAACGGG
RNAcentral lists this ribosomal RNA (253 nucleotides) under uncultured bacterium. Its description in RNAcentral is "partial 16S ribosomal RNA". It matches the Rfam family "Bacterial small subunit ribosomal RNA", at positions 524 to 776 of the family's 1533-position model. The record is from RNAcentral.